This 73-nucleotide transfer RNA is filed under the name Bos indicus (zebu cattle). It matches the Rfam family "tRNA". From Rfam's summary of the family: Transfer RNA (tRNA) molecules are approximately 80 nucleotides in length. The record is from Rfam by way of RNAcentral. RNAcentral also lists the same sequence under 3 other names. Lineage: Eukaryota; Metazoa; Chordata; Mammalia; Artiodactyla; Bovidae.
UCUUUGGUGGUCCAGUGGAUAAGACUCCACACUCCCAAUGCAGAGGGCCCGGGUUCAAUCCCUGGUCAGAGAA